Long non-coding RNA from Pteropus alecto (black flying fox), 1013 nucleotides. RefSeq lists it as uncharacterized. NCBI's taxonomy places the organism in Eukaryota, Metazoa, Chordata, Mammalia, Chiroptera, Pteropodidae. The transcript has 2 exons. The record is from RefSeq and is a predicted model, not a curated record.
GCCGUAGCACAGCUGUCCGCCUGCCACCACCUCCACUGGCAACGCUUGGAGGGGACAAGAAGGACCCUUCUCAAACUGCGGCACACCCCAAGGCACCGGGAACAAGUCGACAGACACGAAAGGAGUCUUGCCUUGUCUCUGGCUUCAGCCACUCAAGCGGUCUGUCCCAGGUGCCAUGUGUGAUGCAGCCCGCAUGGGGACAUGGCGGGGAGAAGACAGGUCUGCCCCUGCCCUCGGGGGGCUUACGGCCAGCCCAGCCCCCAGGACAGCAGUGGCACGGAGCUGGGGCGUUCCGGCUGUCGCCACAUGGUUUAGAUUUCUUCCCAAACUCAGGAGCUUUUUUGGUAAACAUUUAAAUGAGGCCCAGAAAGAGCUUAGUGGCAGAGUGUUACGAUGCUACAGUGUUUAUAAGGGAUAAUGAAGACACAGGGCUGGGUGCGGGUACGUCCGCCUCCCCACCAGAGGUGACUCCAUGGGGGAGGAGGGGACAGUGGGCACACGAGGGAAGGCAGGGCCGAGGGACCAGCAUGUGCAAACUCCGGGAAUCCAAAAGGGUACUGCAUAUUUGGGAAGAGCUUUCAAACCAGAAACCUGGGUUGAGUUCCCAAAUGACUUGUCUGUGUUCUGUGGUCUGCCUUUAAUGAGAUUCUGAACAAUUCCCGGCUGAGAAGCUUUAAAAAGUAAAAAAAAAAAAAAAAAAACCAAAAUAAACAAACGAUGCCCUGGGCUCCAGCCCAGACCAAAUCACGCCCCCUCUCAGGCACCCAGGCACUGCCCUGUUCAAAAAGCCCCACAGGUGAGACUAUAGGGCCCUGCCGUCCAAUGAGGCGGCCGCUGGCUACUGAGCACCCGAGUGUGUGAGCCCAAACCGAUUGUGCUGCGUGUCCCACACACUUAGCAGGAGGAAGAGAACGUACGUAAACUGUCUCAUUCGUAAUUUGUAGAGUGAUUACAUGUUGAAAUGGUUAUAUUUUGGAGACACUGGGCUAAAGAAAAUAUAUGGUUUAAAUGAA